AAUCUCAAGGAAGCUCUUUGGGAGCCAGGAUUCCCAGCACUUAGCUGGUGGGCAAAGGGGUUCAACCCCUUCCCCACACCCCACCUUCCCUCCUCCCAGUCUUCGGGAUUGCGGAGCUCCUGCCGGGAUCCAAGAGCAGGCUCUUGGAGGUCGAAGAAGGAUAUAACCUCCAGACCUGGAAUUUAAGACGCAAGAACCAGCCAGCAAAAGUGGCAGCCGAGCAUGCGAUUGUGUCAUACACUGAAGGAGAACAUAGAGUUCUGAGUCCUCAAUAGACACAUGUCAAGUACUACCUUGGAAACUGGGAAGAAACAACUUUGGACUUGACUUUGGUUUUAGGACCUUAUCGUGUGGGCAGGGGACUGCUGAUGGCUUUUUAUUAGGAAGCUAUGCAACUUGAGGUUCUACUGAAAAGGAGAAGAGGCCACUGGAGAUGGGAAGCCACGAAAACGGACGAGAAACUACAGCAUUACUUCUGCAGAUUCACAAAGGAGUCCACGUUCCAAGAUGAGAGAAAUACCAGAAGCCGAUGGCUAUUCUACUUGACUGAAUGAAAAGAAAAGGAAGGCACUUCCUGUCAAUCCUGCUUUGGAUUCCUAGACAGUUUAAGAAGCACCAUUGAUCUGAUCAUUGGCACUGAGGAGGAAAUGCCCAUCCGCAGAAGACAUGCAGGGCUCAACCCAGCUUGACAUGGGCAGUGGAGUGGGCAGAAGACAGCAGCCCCAGGGCUUGAGCCUCCCUUCACAGUGGGUACCUGGCACAGGCAGACAACAAGCAGUGAGUGGGCCAGCAGAAUGGAACGGCUUGGUCAGCACAGGCGCUUUCAUCAGAUGAAGUGGGGUCACCUUUUACACUCCUGUUAACUCCUUGGGUGGAAUUACCCAACGGAAUGAAAAUUGGAUGGAGUUAUGGCGGGACACUCUUACUGGACACUGAAACCAUCCUGCAGCAAAUUGCUUCUGUGAAAUCUUUCUGCUGUUUGGGAGGUAUCCUUCUAUAGCACAGAAACGGAAACUUCAGCCAGAAGAGAGGAAUUCAGUGACUCCAUGCCAACAGAAACAGAGCUCUGCAUUUGUUUCCUGAGCCUACUUGCACUUGGAAGGUUUCUUUCCUCACAAGAAACAUGUGUUACAGGAUAUAAAAGUGGCUUUCCGUUUGGGGUUAGAACCCGAAACAGAAAGACAACAGAGAAAAAUUUCAGCUCAGCCUUUCUAGAUUGGAAAUGAUGCAUGAAUGUUGUUGUUUCUCCAAGACUUCAGCACAGGUAUAACAUGGUGCUAAUUUAAUCACCCGGUGAAUCACCUUUUCUCUGUGAGAUGUUAACACUGAUGUAAGAUGUUUCCAUGUGAGGAACGGGAAAGACUUGAGACACAAAAAAGCUUCAAGGAUUGGUAAAUAGAAUAAUGUGGUCUGUACCCCACUAAUUUUUCUUGCCAUCCAUGAGAGGCCCGAUGGGCUGCAGCAAUGCAUCAUUUAGAUCGCCCCUUCAGCUGGUUCAUGGAAAACUAACAAAAAUUGAUGUUGUUAUCUGGGGUUUUCGUGUGUGAUUUGUCUAACUCUUUACAUUCAUUAUGGGUUUUGCCCUUCUUUAAUAAAAUGGCCUGAUAUUGCCUUCA
This 1616-nucleotide long non-coding RNA is filed under the name Mus musculus (house mouse). RNAcentral describes it as "RIKEN cDNA 9530026P05 gene". Lineage: Eukaryota; Metazoa; Chordata; Mammalia; Rodentia; Muridae. The record is from RNAcentral.